AGGCUCGCCCUACCCCGGCCGAAGCAGCAGGAAGCCACGCCCAAUCGAGACGCGACGACCAAAGACUGUGCCCCCGCAAAACUCCCACGCUCCCAUGCUCCCCCACGCAGGCGCCGAAGGGAGCCUUUGGAAGCUGCGCGCUGCAGCACCUCCCCUCCCCUCCAUCCCGCGCUGUGAUUGACCAGUAUUUUCCGAGGGGGCGGAUCCUCUUCUGAGUAGACCAAUCGAGCAGCUAAACUGAGGCCAGGAAGAGUGGGGCAAGUGGGAGACAUAGAUACUCCUGCGUUUCUACCAGUAGGUAUUUCCGGUUCCGCUGGUGGGGUCUCCCCGGUGAGCUCCAGGCCUGCUGACCCUGAGAGAUGUGAUGUUUCCUAGAAGGAAAGAGCGAACACAGGAAGACUCCGAGACUCGAAAGACAGUCGGUAAUGAGAUCUGGGAGCGGCCAGCAGGGCCUUGUGUGCCUCAAGUGCGGGUCUGGCCGGGGCCAGGGAAUGCGGCCAGGGGCCGGCCUAGUCGCAGUUGGAGCAGUGUGCGGUCUUCGGUUGGUUAUGGGGCCAUGGGAUGUAGAGGGGUCUUCCUGGCUCACAAGGUUCAGUUCAGGGUAGGCCAGGUCGCUGGUCCCCACUGCACUGUAACCUGCAGCUGUAGCCCAACCAAGUGACUCAAAGCCACGGUGGACCUUAGGCAGGAGUAGAGCCUCUGGUUUUCUGCACAGGAUAUCGAUCCACUCCUCAUACCUCCCAUUCAACCCUUUCCAGUGCCAGACGUGUCCCAUAUGAUUGACACUGGGUGCUGUGGUUAGAAACUUAAGUUAGAAAAUCGAGCCCUUUCCCAAACUCUGCCAAUGAUUGCUUCAUUCAUCUCGACCAAUUUGUAACUUGGCUUUCCUUAGCUUUUUAAAAAUUUUACUCUUUGCUCUGAACAAAGAGCUAAGAAUGUCUGUUAUCAAUAACUUAGAGGGCAAUUUUAAAAGUAAGAUAAUGUAAGUAAAAGGAAUUGUAAGUUUAUGAAGGUGUUUCAGGGGACAAAAAAAAAAAAAAAAAAAGAAAGGAAAGAAAAAAACAAGAAUGAUAGGUACCAUAAAAAUUCUAAGUGAAUCUUAGCACAAUGUCUUAUUCUAGUACCAGAUUACUUAGGGAAUGAUUGCAUACUCAUUAAAACAAUAUCACAAGAGUUGACAAGUAGCAGGAUUUAGUGGAAUAUCAAAUAGGAUAAUUUCAGCUGCAAGUAACAGAAAGCCCAACAAAAUGAUGUUCAAAGAUAGGACAGUUGAUUAAUUUACUGGCUCAGUGACAGCAUCAAAGUCCCAAUGCCUCCAUAUUUCUUCUCUGUCAUUCUUAGCCUGUUAGUGAAAGUGACAAUGCAACCCAGAUAAUGUACACAGACAUGUAUUGUGAAAUGUACUCAUCAUAAGCCAGUAAUUUUCAAGGUAAAAAGACCAUCAUAAUUUGGUUUAGUAUAUCAGCUUCAUGCCCUGGCAUCAGAAGCAGGACCCAGACUUCCCUGACCAUCUACCUGUACAAAAUCAGGGCUCUAUUAGAAAACAAAAGGAAGUAGGACAGAUAGCUAAUAGUUAACAUAUUACUAAUGACAUCUAUUGACAGCUAGGAAAAAAAUUUUGUGGAAAUGGGUCACAAAAGGGUAGCUGAGGGCCCCAGGAGAAGGAGAAGGGUGCUUCAAGGACAGAUGGAGGAAUAAGAACAAACUCCCCUAUAACAUAGAUCAGUCGAAAGCAUAUAUGAAGAAGAGCAGACAGCCUGAUAUAUGGAGGACUAAACUACAGGUAUCUUCAUUAUGUAGUCAUCUUUCUCCUCUUCACUUAUGCUUAAUGCUUUUUUUUCAGGGAUGCCUUAUUUGGGGGCUCAGAAUCUUCUAAUCUGGAUCUGCAGCUGUGUAUAUUAUCUGGAUUGCAUUGUCACUUUCACUAAUAGGCUAAGAAUGACAGAGAAGGGUCUGGGGAUGUGGCUCAAGUGGUAGCACGUUUGCCUGGCAUGCGAGAGGCACUGGGUUCGAUCCUCAGCACCACAUAAAAAUAAAAAAUAAAGAUAUUGUGUCCACCUAAAACUAAAAAAUAAAUAUAAAAAAAGAAUGACAGGGAAGAAAUAUGGAAGCAUUAGGACCUUGAUGCUGUCACUGAGUCACUAAAUUAACAGUAAGCUUGGAUGUCUUUUGCCUUUGAACCCUAUUCCCAUUAUUACAGAGAGAUAAGCACAGUUUCUGAUGACUAGAUUUGAAUCUUAUAAUAUUAACUUGUUAUAUAAGAAGAAAAAGAGUUAUUCCUGAAAUGGGAGAAGAAACAAAAUCUUCCCUAACCCUUCUAGCAGCAAACUACCAAAACUAUAAAUAAGUGGACAAAUAAAGAGGAAACAUGAAAGUUUGAUGAGAUAAAAAGCCUAAACUACAUUAAGAUUGAAAGAAUAAGACUGAAUUAUAUACCUAACUCAAUUUUUUUAAAAUGGGAAAUAUUUGAUUUUAUAUAUAUUAUAUGCUCAAGUGAUGUAUUUUAACCGUUAAAAUUAAAAAUCCACAACCUCAUUUUAGAAGAGUCUUCAUUUCCACCUUUAAUAUACCAAGAAUAAUAAUAAUAGUCUCUAUGUAUUGAAAUGCUUUUGGUAGAUGAACACCAGCUUUCUCUCAUAAGAUCACAUUUUUUUUCAUUAAAAAUAACUUUUGCUGGGCACUUUGGUGCACAUCUGUAAUCCCAGCAGCUCAGGAAGCUGAGGCAGGAGGAUUUCAAAUUCAAAGCCAACCUCAGCAAUUUAAUGAGGCCCUAUGCAACUUAGUGAGACCCUUUCUCAAAAUCAAAAAUUAAAAGGGUUGGGAUGUAGCUCAGUGGUUAAGCACCCAUGGGUUCAAUCCCCAGUAUCCCCCAAAUUUUUUAUUAUUAUAAAAGCAGUACGUGUGUGUUUUAGAAAGUUUGAAAAUAGAAAUAAGCAAAAACAUUGUCAAAGCACCACAUUCCUAUCACGAAGAGAUUACUGCUGUACAUAUUUUUAUUUGAUGAAUUUCAAAAUAAUUUCCAGAAUUAAUUGCUCAUUAGAUUUGAUAUGGUUUCCAUUCAGAGAUAAUACUGCUCUUUAGGGCCCACUAUCUAAAAUUAAGUACGUCUCUGGUUCUUAGGAUAUGUCUAUUACUCAUCAGAAAUUGGCACAAGGCCUUCUCAUGAUGCACCAAAGGAGUAUAUGUAAACAAGAUUAUCUUCCUCACAACUUUAGAGAGGCUCUUCUCACAGGUGUCCAGAAUACCCAACUGAACAGUAAAGAAAACAUGUAUUCUUGACUCCCAGUCUCUUAUGGGAAUGAUGGCUGCACCUCAUGCUUGCAAGUUUUACUUUUACCAAAAACAAGAAGCUUUCAUGAUUUCGAAACUAGGAUUACCUCUAACUGGAUAGGAAUCUCUUCAUCAGAGAUGUGGUGCUAUAAAAUGUACCUCCAACAUGUUAAUGUCAUUAUUAUAAAUUAACUUUGCUGUGUCAAUUCCAGCCAAAUUGUUUUUCAGUUACUGAAGCCAGAGAAACUUCCAUUUACAGAUUCUAGACCUGCUGAUACUGAUUAAUUUUUUUGACACAGUACCUUUAUUUAUUUAUUUAUUUGUUCGUUUGUUGGUUGUAGGUAGACACAAUACCUUUAUUUUAUUUAUUUAUUUUUAUGUGGUGCUGAGGAUCAAACCCAGGGCCUCACACGUGCAAGGCGAGCACUCUGCCACUGAGCCACAACCCUAGCCCCCCUUUAUUAUUACUUUUAUGUGUUGCUGAGUAUUGAACCCAUGCCUCACAUGUGCUAGGCAAGCACUCUACCACUGAGCUACAGCCUGAGCUCCUGAUUAAAUUCUUGUUAAAUAGAAGCUUCAAACAAAGACUCCUGGAGGAUAAUGGGACCCACAGAGAAUGCAGGUUAGACACAAUGAGGACAGAAAAGAAAUGACAGGAUGGGUAGUCGGUUAGAGACUACAUGUUUAAGUUAUUGCCCCCCCCCAAAGGGUUCAUCAAAUUAAGACUUCUGAGAUCCACUAGCCUAGGAGUUACAGAGAUGGGAUGGCCAGGAGUAAAAUGAUGGCCUUGCCUCUGAUGGCUGGGCAUAGUGGUGCAUGCCUUUAAUUCCAGUGACUGGUGACUGGGGAGGCUGAGGCUGGAGGAUCACAAGUUCAAGGACAGCCUGGGCAGAGUAGUGGGACCCUAACUCAAAAAAGGGCUGUGGAUGUUGCUCAAUGGUACAAUGCUCCUGGGUUCAAUCCUCAGUACCCUGCCUCCCCCAUAUACACACACGAAGAAGACUUUUUAAAAUUAUAUUAUUGUAUUUUAAUACCUUUUUUUAUUUUUAUGUGGUGCUGUGGAUCCAACCCAGUACUCUACCACUGAGGUACAACCACAGCCCCCAAAAGAUUGUUUUUUACCUUGAAGGAUGAGGCAUGGAUCCAGACUUAGUAGGGAAAAGAGUUUCAGGAAAGGACUCAAAGCCUUCUCUGUCCUGUUUGGAAUGUUGCCAUUGUAUUCAGAGGAAACUUAUGUGAAAUCCAUUUUGACCUGUCAAUAAAUACUUUUAAAAGUAUUACUACUGAAUGAUUCAGGGGGGUAUAGUAAAAUAAAGGCUUUCACUUAAUUCAUAGGAGGGUAAAUGAGUAUAUUCUUUUUUUAAGUGAAAUAGAGUAUUCCAGUCACUCUAACUGUAUGCAAAUAAAUAUUUAGUUUAAGCAAUAGUCCCUUGUGAGUCUAAUUAGUAAGCCCAGUUUUAGAGUACACUGACAGAUAAAUGGAGAAGCAGACCUUCUGAGACAGGAACUAUGUAGCCGCAUGGUCCUUUUCUUUCUCUGUUUUGGUUGUAAUUGCAAGUAGUCUCAUCCUUGAUUAUCCAUCUUAUACACAUGCAUUAUUUCACACCAAGGGAGAAUUUCCAGAUAUUUUGGAAACCCCAAAUAUUUUUUUCUUGUUUGUCCUGGUUUUGAUCUAUGCGGAUACUAAUAAAACCCUUAGAACCAUCCACUCUAUUUCAUGCCAAUCUCAUGUAAUCUUUCCACUUUCCUGGGAGUGCCCCAAGGAUGGUCAAGAGCCCUUUCAAGCAGAACAAGUACUGAUUAACAAGCUGCAGAGCUUGCCAUGAAGUGACUUAUUUUGUUUUUUCUCCUGGACACUAGGAAAGAGAUCUUCCUGUAAAGGCUGCUUUUGCAACCUUGUGAACUUUCCUCCUAGGUAAGUCAGGAAAGUUAUGGUUCGUGGCUUUAGUGAAGAACCGGUCCUUUCUAAUAAAGAAUCCAUUUGUUUCUUGAUUUUCAUCCUUCGUGGUGGGCACUUAGAGCUGCCACUUUGGAGAGGAGCUUCAUUCAUCCUGUGUACCGUAAAGGCCUUAGUCUCUUUCCUCCACCACCACAUUCUUCCACCAUGAUGUUCUGCCUCACCUUGAGCCCUGAGGAAUGGAGCCAGCCUUCUAUGGACUGAGACCUCUGAAACCAUGAGCCCUCAACUUAUGGUGGAUUUUUUUCAGGACAUAAUCCCAUUGUGAGUUGAAAACAUCUGUAAUCAAAAAGUGUACAGGUGGGGCUGGGGUUGUGGGUCAGUGGUAGAGCACUUGCCUAGCAUGUGUGAGGCACUGGGUUCAAUCCUCAGCACCACAUAAAAAUAAGUAAAUAAAAGUAAUUGUGUCCAUCUACAACAACAACAAAAAAAAAGUGUUCAGGUGUGUGUACAUGUUUGUGAACUGCAGUAUUGUUUACCACCUGAAUGUCCAGGUGUUGGUGGGGACUGGAUUGCCAGUCCUUGCUGUCCUCCCUCCCCAGCUAUAGGUCAUCUUACUGACCACUCUUUCCAAAUAGAGCAAGGGGUCAUAGGUGGGUCGUAUCCAGAGAAGGGAGGCUUUGGGAUCACCCAGGCUUGGAAUAAGAGCAAAACUGGACUUUGUUCCUAUAUGGGCCAGAUAAGUGUAUCAGGGCCAUGAAAAACGGUGGGUGAACAUUAAAGUACCUCAUUUUCUAGA
This is a long non-coding RNA of Marmota monax (woodchuck), 5966 nucleotides long. RefSeq lists it as uncharacterized. The record is from RefSeq and is a predicted model, not a curated record. NCBI's taxonomy places the organism in Eukaryota, Metazoa, Chordata, Mammalia, Rodentia, Sciuridae. The transcript has 2 exons.